UGAGGUAGAUUGAUCAGCGAGCUU
This 24-nucleotide microRNA is filed under the name Caenorhabditis elegans. RNAcentral describes it as "cel-miR-795-5p". Its record names the gene cel-miR-795-5p. Lineage: Eukaryota; Metazoa; Nematoda; Chromadorea; Rhabditida; Rhabditidae. The record is from miRBase by way of RNAcentral.